GGCAAUCCGGCGAGAGAUGGACCCGCGUCCAAUUAGCUAGUUGGUGAUGUAAUGGCCUACCAAGGCGACGAUUGGUAGCCGAACUGAGAGGUUGAUCGGCCACAUUGGGACUGAGAUACGGCCCAGACUCCUACGGGAGGCAGCAGUGGGGAAUAUUGCGCAAUGGGGGAAACCCUGACGCAGCAACGCCGCGUGAAGGAUGAAGGUUUUCGGAUCGUAAACUUCUUUGAUGGGGGACGAAACAAAUGACGGUACCCCAAAAACAAGCACCGGCUAACUCCGUGCCAGCAGCCGCGGUAAUACGGAGGGUGCAAGCGUUGUUCGGAAUUACUGGGCGUAAAGCGCGCGUAGGCGGUUUGCUCAGUCAGAUGUGAAAGCCCUCGGCUUAACCGGGGACGUGCAUUUGAAACUGGCAGACUUGAGUAUUGGAGGGGGUGGUGGAAUUCCCGGUGUAGAGGUGAAAUUCGUAGAUAUUAGGAGGAACACCAGUGGCGAAGGCGACUUCCUGGCUUGUAACUGACACUGAGGCGCGAAAGCGUGGGGAUCAAACAGGAUUAGAUACCCUGGUAGUCCACGCCGUAAACGAUGAGUGCUAGGUGUCGGGGGUAUCGACCCCCUCGGUGCCACAGCUAACGCAAUAAGCACUCCGCCUGGGGAGUACGGUCGCAAGACUGAAACUCAAAGGAAUUGACGGGGGCCCGCACAAGCGGUGGAGUAUGUGGUUUAAUUCGACGCAACGCGAAGAACCUUACCAAGGCUUGACAUCCUGUGACAGCUAUAGAAAUAUAGACUUCUUAGUUUACUAAGACACAGAGACAGGUGGUGCAUGUCGUCAGCUCGUGUCGUGAGAUGUUGGGUUAAGUCCCGCAACGAGCGCAACCCCUACAGCCAGUUGCCAGCACGUAAUGGUGGGAACUCUGGCAGAACUGCCGUUGACAAAACGGAGGAAGGUGGGGAUGACGUCAAAUCAUCAUGCCCCUUAUGUCUUGGGCUACACACGUACUACAAUGGCCUGAACAGAGGGAAGCAAAGCCGCAAGUUAAGCGAAUCCCUUAAAACAGGUCCCAGUUCGGAUUGUAGGCUGCAACUCGCCUACAUGAAGUCGGAAUCGCUAGUAAUCGCAGGUCAGCAUACUGCGGUGAAUACGUUCCCGGGCCUUGUACACACCGCCCGUCACACCAUGGGAGUGGGUAAUACCCGAAGCCGG
RNAcentral lists this ribosomal RNA (1207 nucleotides) under uncultured bacterium. RNAcentral's name for it is "bacterial SSU rRNA". It matches the Rfam family "Bacterial small subunit ribosomal RNA", at positions 209 to 1430 of the family's 1533-position model. The record is from RNAcentral.